This 27-nucleotide non-coding RNA is filed under the name Mus musculus (house mouse). Lineage: Eukaryota; Metazoa; Chordata; Mammalia; Rodentia; Muridae. The record is from RNAcentral.
UUAUUCAGGAUCCUUUCAACAUGCAAG